This 467-nucleotide ribosomal RNA is filed under the name uncultured bacterium. Its description in RNAcentral is "partial 16S ribosomal RNA". It matches the Rfam family "Bacterial small subunit ribosomal RNA", at positions 28 to 506 of the family's 1533-position model. The record is from RNAcentral.
GACGGACGCUGGCGGCGUGCUUAGCACAUGCAAGUCGAACGGAAAGGCCCUGCUUUUGUGGGGUGCUCGAGUGGCGAACGGGUGAGUAACACGUGAGUAACCUGCCCUUGACUUUGGGAUAACUUCAGGAAACUGGGGCUAAUACCGGAUAGGAGCUCCUGCUGCAUGGUGGGGGUUGGAAAGUUUCGGCGGUUGGGGAUGGACUCGCGGCUUAUCAGCUUGUUGGUGGGGUAGUGGCUUACCAAGGCUUUGACGGGUAGCCGGACUGAGAGGGUGACCGGCCACAUUGGGACUGAGAAGCGACCCAGAGGGCUAAGGGAGGAAGGAGUGGAGAAUAUUGCACAAUGGGCGGAAGCCUGAUGGAGCACCGCCGCGUGCGGGAUGACGGCCUUCGGGUUGUAAACCGCUUUCGCCUGUGACGAAGCGUGAGUGACGGUAAUGGGUAAAGAAGCACCGGCUAACUACGU